GGCCCCGUAGCUCAGUUGGAUAGAGCGACGGUUUCCUAAACCGUAGGUCACAGGUUCAAAUCCUGUCGGGGUCACCA
Molecule: transfer RNA, 77 nt
Filed under: Hyphomicrobium sp. ghe19
Lineage: Bacteria; Pseudomonadati; Pseudomonadota; Alphaproteobacteria; Hyphomicrobiales; Hyphomicrobiaceae
Description: tRNA-Arg
Rfam family: tRNA
About the family: Transfer RNA (tRNA) molecules are approximately 80 nucleotides in length. Their secondary structure includes four short double-helical elements and three loops (D, anti-codon, and T loops).
Source: RNAcentral